Molecule: ribosomal RNA, 150 nt
Filed under: uncultured bacterium
Lineage: Bacteria
Description: partial 16S ribosomal RNA
Rfam family: Bacterial small subunit ribosomal RNA
Source: RNAcentral
CAGCAUGCCGCGGUGAAUACGUUCCCGGGCCUUGUACACACCGCCCGUCACACCAUGGGAGCCGGUAAUACCCGAAGUCAGUAGUCCAACCUCGUGAGGACGCUGCCGAAGGUAGGAUUGGCGACUGGGGUGAAGUCGUAACAAGGUACC